AUCUCCAACACCAUACUAGUGUCUGCGUAUGUGAAAAUGGCACAUUUCUAAAUGUUGUAGCAAAAAGAGUUAAACAAUAAAAUGUGGAAAACACACCAUUUUCAUUUUCAUUCAACUCUAAAACUGUACAAUAAAGUCUUCUCCCUCUUCUAGGCAUAAUGAAGGAUGAUGAGAUCCAGAAUUAUGGCGGUGACACCAUAAGCUGCUCUCUGGCUCCGGUGCAGCGUCUGGAGGCCCUGCUGGCUCAGGGGAAUGGCAACGAUGUGUCCCUCAGGGUUCAGAGUCCAGGGCCUUCAGCAGGGUCACCCAGUACAUGACUCAGAACCUGGCCAGCUCCUCUGGACACGCAGUGGAAAGGUACCAGUAUGCCCUUCAGACUGGAGAAGUGGCCCUGAGGGAACCUGUCCUGGAACCUGUCCUCCGUACUGCAGAGUGGGGAGUGGACCACCGUCAGCAUCGACCUGCUCAUGACCCUGCUGCAGCGUUUAGACCUCAUC
Molecule: long non-coding RNA, 497 nt
Organism: Oncorhynchus tshawytscha (Chinook salmon)
Lineage: Eukaryota; Metazoa; Chordata; Actinopteri; Salmoniformes; Salmonidae
Exons: 3
Source: RefSeq, a predicted model, not a curated record